UGGUUAAACAAGGAAGGGCGCACGGUGGAUGCCUUGGCACUAGGCGCCGAAGAAGGACGGGACGAACACCGAUAUGCUUCGGGGAGCUGUAAGUAUGCUUGGAUCCGGAGAUGUCCGAAUGGGGGAACCCCUUCUCCGUCAUGGGAGAAGAUCAUCUGCCCAACUAAUUAAGCAGAUGAAGGCAGACCCGGCGAACUGAAACAUCUUAGUAGCCGGAGGAAGAGAAAGCAAACGCGAUUUCCUGAGUAGCGGCGAGCGAAACGGAAGCGAGCCCAAACCGGACGGCUUGCCGUCCGGGGUUGAAGGACACGCCAUACGGAGUGACAAAGGGGCGGCGUAGCGGAAGCGGCUUGGAACGGUCCGCCAUAGCAGGUAAGAGCCCUGUACGCGAAACGCUGCCCUCUCCGGCGUGGAUCCUGAGUACGGCGGGACACGAGAAACCCCGUCGGAAGCAGGGAGGCCCAUCUCCCAAGGCUAAAUACGACCUAGUGACCGAUAGUGAACCAGUACCGUGAGGGAAAGGUGAAAAGCACCCCGGGAGGGGAGUGAAAGAGAACCUGAAACCGUGUGCCUACAGGUGGUCAGAGCCCGUUCAUGGGUGAUGGCGUGCCUUUUGUAGAAUGAACCGGCGAGUGACGAUGGCGUGCGAGGUUAAGUUGAAGAGACGGAGCCGCAGCGAAAGCGAGUCUGAAGUGGGCGCGAAGUACGUCGACGUCGACCCGAAACCGUGUGAUCUACCCAUGUCCAGGGUGAAGGUCGGGUAACACCGACUGGAGGCCCGAACCCACGUAAGUUGAAAAUUACGGGGAUGAGGGGUGGGUAGGGGUGAAAUGCCAAUCGAACACGGAGAUAGCUGGUUCUCCCCGAAAUAGCUUUAGGGCUAGCCUCGGAGGAAGAGUCCUGGAGGUAGAGCACGGAUUGGAUGAGGGGUCCCCACAGGAUUACCGAGUUCAGUCAAACUCCGAAUGCCAGCGACUUGGUUUCCGGGAGUCAGACGGCGAGUGCUAAGAUCCGUCGUCAAGAGGGAAACAGCCCGGACCACCGGCUAAGGUCCCCAAGUAUGGAUUAAGUGGGAAAGGAUGUGGCGUUGCUUAGACAACCAGGAUGUUGGCUUAGAAGCAGCCAUCAUUGAAAGAGUGCGUAAUAGCUCACUGGUCGAGUGACGCUGCGCCGAAAAUGUACCGGGGCUAAAUCCAUCACCGAAGCCGUGGAUUCCGGAGGUCAGAUGUCAGAGGCCGGAAAUCAGAGAAAAGAGGAACGAAAAUGGCGAGCAGUUAUCGAGAAUUAAGAGUGUAUCAACUAUCUUAUGAUUUAGCACUUCAUGUGCAUCGAUUAACGCAAAGCUUUCCAGCCUUCGAAAGGUAUGAACUAGGGAGUCAACUAAGAAGAGCUGCAACAUCCAUACCUGUCAAUAUUGCCGAAGGAUAUGGCAAGAAGGGCAAGCAAUUGUAUCGAAUGAUCCAAAAUUGGAAAACGUAUUGAUUUCUGUCUCUGGUUUUUCCGAAUUCUGGUUUCUGAUAUCUGACCUCUGGAGUGGUAGGGGAGCGUUCGGUGUGCCGGGAAGGCCGACCGUGAGGACGGCUGGAGCGCACCGAAGUGAGAAUGCCGGUAUGAGUAGCGAAAAGAAGGGUGAGAAUCCCUUCCGUCGAAAACCUAAGGUUUCCUGAGGAAGGCUCGUCCGCUCAGGGUUAGUCGGGGCCUAAGCCGAGGCCGAAAGGCGUAGGCGAUGGAUAACUGGUGGAAAUUCCAGUACCACCGAUGGCUGUCAGACCGAAGGGGGGACGCAGAAAGGUAGGGCGAGCGCGCUGAUGGAGAAGCGCGUCGAAGCGACCGAGGCUGUUGGGCAGGCAAAUCCGCCCAACGUGAAGGCUGAGGCGUGACCGCGAGGGAAAUGAAGUACCGAAGUCCCCGAUCCUCCGCUGCCGAGAAAAGCCUCUAGGAAGGGCAUCGGUGCCCGUACCGCAAACCGACACAGGUAGGUGGGAUGAGAAUUCUAAGACGCGCGGGAGAACUCUCGUUAAGGAACUCGGCAAAAUGACCCCGUAACUUCGGGAGAAGGGGUGCUCCUUGGGGUUGAAAGCCCCGGGGAGCCGCAGUGACAAGGCCCAAGCGACUGUUUACCAAAAACACAGGUCUCUGCGAAGUCGAAAGACGAAGUAUAGGGGCUGACACCUGCCCGGUGCUGGAAGGUUAAGAGGAGGGCUUAGCGCUUAGGCGCGAAGGUCCGAAUUGAAGCCCCAGUAAACGGCGGCCGUAACUAUAACGGUCCUAAGGUAGCGAAAUUCCUUGUCGGGUAAGUUCCGACCCGCACGAAAGGUGCAACGACUUGGGCACUGUCUCAACGAGAGACCCGGUGAAAUUAUAUGACCUGUGAAGAUGCAGGUCCCCCGCGACUGGACGGAAAGACCCCAUGGAGCUUUACUGUAGCUUGAUAUUGGGUUUUCGUAUCGCUUGUACAGGAUAGGCAGGAGCCAAGGAACCCGGAGCGCCAGCUUCGGAGGAGGCGCCGGUGGGAUACUGCCCUUGCGAUAUGAACAUCCUAACCUCGAACCGUGAGCCGGUUCAGGGACAGUGUCUGGUGGGCAGUUUGACUGGGGCGGUCGCCUCCCAAACAGUAACGGAGGCGCCCCAAGGUUCCCUCAGAAUGGUUGGAAAUCAUUCGCAGCGUGCAAAGGCAGAAGGGAGCUUGACUGCGAGACAGACAGGUCGAGCAGGGACGAAAGUCGGGCUUAGUGAUCCGGCGGCACCGUAUGGAAGGGCCGUCGCUCAACGGAUAAAAGCUACCCUGGGGAUAACAGGCUAAUCUCCCCCAAGAGUCCACAUCGACGGGGAGGUUUGGCACCUCGAUGUCGGCUCAUCGCAUCCUGGGGCUGAAGUCGGUCCCAAGGGUUGGGCUGUUCGCCCAUUAAAGCGGUACGCGAGCUGGGUUCAGAACGUCGUGAGACAGUUCGGUCCCUAUCCGUCGCGGGCGCAGGAAAUUUGAGAGGAGCUGUCCUUAGUACGAGAGGACCGGGAUGGACACACCGCUGGUGUACCAGUUGUUCCGCCAGGAGCAUGGCUGGGUAGCUACGUGUGGAUCGGAUAAGUGCUGAAAGCAUCUAAGCACGAAGCCGGCCUCAAGAUGAGAUUUCCCGAGAGACCCCUUAAAGACGAUAAGGUAGAUAGGUCUGAGGUGGACGCGUGGCGACACGUGGAGCUGACAGAUACUAAUCGGUCCAACGGUUUAUCCAC
RNAcentral lists this ribosomal RNA (3231 nucleotides) under Salicibibacter halophilus. RNAcentral describes it as "23S ribosomal RNA". It matches the Rfam family "Bacterial large subunit ribosomal RNA". The record is from RNAcentral. Lineage: Bacteria; Bacillati; Bacillota; Bacilli; Caryophanales; Bacillaceae.